RNAcentral lists this ribosomal RNA (915 nucleotides) under Fulvifomes costaricensis. RNAcentral describes it as "Fulvifomes sp. XHJ-2018d partial large subunit ribosomal RNA". It matches the Rfam family "Eukaryotic large subunit ribosomal RNA", at positions 55 to 941 of the family's 3401-position model. The record is from RNAcentral. Lineage: Eukaryota; Fungi; Basidiomycota; Agaricomycetes; Hymenochaetales; Hymenochaetaceae.
GGAAAAGAAACUAACAAGGAUUCCCCUAGUAACUGCGAGUGAAGCGGGAAGAGCUCAAAUUUAAAAUCUGGCGGCUUUUGGUCGUCCGAGUUGUAACCUGGAGAGGCAUUUUCUGCGUUGGACCGUGUACAAGUCUCCUGGAAUGGAGCGUCAUAGAGGGUGAGAAUCCCGUCCAUGACACGGACCGCCAAUGCUCUGUGAUAUGCCUUCGAAGAGUCGCGUUGUUUGGGAAUGCAGCGCAAAAUGGGUGGUAAAUUCCAUCUAAAGCUAAAUAUUGGCGAGAGACCGAUAGCGAACAAGUACCGUGAGGGAAAGAUGAAAAGCACUUUGAAAAGAGAGUUAAACAGUACGUGAAAUUGUUGAAAGGGAAACGCUUGAAGUCAGUCGCGUUCUUUGGAACUCAGCCUUACUUCGGUUUGGUGUACUUUCCAUGUGAACGGGUCAACGUCAAUUUUGGCCGGUGGACAAAGACAAGGGGAAUGUAGCGUUGCUUCGGUGACGUGUUAUAGCCCCUUGUUGUAUAUGCCGGCUGGGAUUGAGGACUGCAGCAUGCCCUUGUGGCCGAGGGGUUUGCCCCUACGUACCGUGCUUAGGAUGUUGGCAUAAUGGCUUUAAGCGACCCGUCUUGAAACACGGACCAAGGAGUCUAACAUGCUUGCGAGUGUUCGGGUGGAAAACCCUUGUGCGUAAUGAAAGUGAAAGUUAGGAACCUUCUCGCAAGAGAGGGUGCACUGACGCCCGGCCCUGAGGUUUUCUGACGGUGCUGCGGUAGAGCAAGUAUGUUGGGACCCGAAAGAUGGUGAACUAUGCCUGAAUAGGGCGAAGCCAGAGGAAACUCUGGUGGAGGCUCGUAGCGAUUCUGACGUGCAAAUCGAUCGUCAAAUUUGGGUAUAGGGGCGAAAGACUAAUCGAACC